This 435-nucleotide ribosomal RNA is filed under the name uncultured bacterium. Its description in RNAcentral is "partial 16S ribosomal RNA". It matches the Rfam family "Bacterial small subunit ribosomal RNA", at positions 29 to 507 of the family's 1533-position model. The record is from RNAcentral.
AACGAACGCUGGCGGCAUGCCUAACACAUGCAAGUCGAACGGGUACCUUCGGGUGCUAGUGGCGCACGGGUGCGUAACGCGGGGGAAUCUCCCCUUGGGUUCGGAAUAACUCAGCGAAAGCUGUGCUAAUACCGGAUGAUGUCGAAAGACCAAAGAUUUAACGCGCGAGGAUGAGCCGGCGUUGGCUUAGCUAGUUGGUGGGGUAAAGGCCUACCAAGUCGACGAUCCAUAGCUGGUCUGAGAGGAUGAUCAGCCACACUGGGACUGGGAAACGGCCCAGAAUCCUACGGGAGGCAGCAGUGGGGAAUAUUGGACUAUGGGCGAAAGCAUGAUCCAGCAAUGCCGGGUGAGUGAUGAAGGCCUUAGGGUUGUAAAGCUCUUUUACCCGGGACGAUAAUGACAGUACCGGGAGAAUAAGCACCGGCUAACUCCGUG